This 594-nucleotide ribosomal RNA is filed under the name Lecithodendriidae sp. 1 SB-2020. Its description in RNAcentral is "partial large subunit ribosomal RNA". It matches the Rfam family "Eukaryotic large subunit ribosomal RNA", at positions 85 to 649 of the family's 3401-position model. Lineage: Eukaryota; Metazoa; Platyhelminthes; Trematoda; Plagiorchiida; Lecithodendriidae. The record is from RNAcentral.
UACGGCGAGUGACCAGGGAAAAGCCCAGCACCGAAGACUGUGGCCAGUUGGCUACUAGUCAAUGUGGUGUUUAGGUUGUUCCGGCGGAGUCGCUGCCCCACCCUAAGUCCAUGAAUGAGUAUGGUAAAUGGACAUGGCCCACAGAGGGUGACAGGCCCGUGGGGGUGGGGAGCAGGCAGGCCAGCGACGCCCUGGAUAAACCUUGGAGUCGGGUUGUUUGUGAUUGCAGCCCAAAGUGGGUGGUAAACUCCAUCCAAGGCUAAAUACCAGCACGAGUCCGAUAGCAAACAAGUACCGUGAGGGAAAGUUGAAAAGUACUUUGAAGAGAGAGUAAACAGUGCGUGAAACCGAUCAGAGGUAAACGGGUGGAGUUGAACUGCAAGCUCUGAGAAUUCAGCUGGUGAGUGUGGUUUGAGCUUGGUCAAGUCAGUUGGACUUUGUGGUCUGCGAGGCACUUAGCAAGUGUUGUGGGCCAUAGAGUUCUUCGGACUGGCUCACCUGUGCACUUUCUCAGAGUGGUCACCACGACCGGCAUUGCUGUCUGGCUGAUGGGGUUAAACCGGUUUUGCAUGGUCCUUGUGGCUCUGCUUGAUC